Molecule: ribosomal RNA, 464 nt
Filed under: Vreelandella stevensii
Lineage: Bacteria; Pseudomonadati; Pseudomonadota; Gammaproteobacteria; Oceanospirillales; Halomonadaceae
Description: partial 16S ribosomal RNA
Rfam family: Bacterial small subunit ribosomal RNA
Source: RNAcentral
CCUACGGAGGCUGCAGUGGGGAAUAUUGGACAAUGGGCGAAAGCCUGAUCCAGCCAUGCCGCGUGUGUGAAGUAGGCCUUCGGGUUGUAAAGCACUUUCAGUGGGGAAGAAAGCCUUGGGGCUAAUACCCUCGAGGAAGGACAUCACCCACAGAAGAAGCACCGGCUAACUCCGUGCCAGCAGCCGCGGUAAUACGGAGGGUGCGAGCGUUAAUCGGAAUUACUGGGCGUAAAGCGCGCGUAGGCGGUCUGAUAAGCCGGUUGUGAAAGCCCCGGGCUCAACCUGGGAACGGCAUCCGGAACUGUCAGGCUAGAGUGCAGGAGAGGAAGGUAGAAUUCCCGGUGUAGCGGUGAAAUGCGUAGAGAUCGGGAGGAAUACCAGUGGCGAAGGCGGCCUUCUGGACUGACACUGACGCUGAGGUGCGAAAGCGUGGGUAGCAAACAGGAUUAGAUACCCUUGUAGUC